GUAGGUGGCAAGCGUUGUCCGGAAUUAUUGGGCGUAAAGCGCGCGCAGGCGGUUCUUUAAGUCUGAUGUGAAAGCCCACGGCUCAACCGUGGAGGGUCAUUGGAAACUGGAGAACUUGAGUACAGAAGAGGAAAGCGGAAUUCCACGUGUAGCGGUGAAAUGCGUAGAGAUGUGGAGGAACACCAGUGGCGAAGGCGGCUUUCUGGUCUGUAACUGACGCUGAGGCGCGAAAGCGUGGGGGAGCAAACAGGGUUAGAUACCCUGGUAGUCCACGCCGUAAACGAUGAGUGCUAAGUGUUAGGGGGGUUUCCGCCCCCCUUAGUGCUGCAGCUAACGCAUUAAGCACUCCGCCUGGGAGUACGGCCGCAAGGCUG
This 374-nucleotide ribosomal RNA is filed under the name uncultured organism. Its description in RNAcentral is "partial 16S ribosomal RNA". It matches the Rfam family "Bacterial small subunit ribosomal RNA", at positions 527 to 896 of the family's 1533-position model. The record is from RNAcentral.